RNAcentral lists this ribosomal RNA (427 nucleotides) under uncultured bacterium. Its description in RNAcentral is "bacterial SSU rRNA". It matches the Rfam family "Bacterial small subunit ribosomal RNA", at positions 355 to 774 of the family's 1533-position model. The record is from RNAcentral.
UAGGGAAUAUUGGACAAUGGGGGCAACCCUGAUCCAGCCAUGCCGCGUGAGUGAAGAAGGCCCUCGGGUUGUAAAGCUCUUUUGUCCGGAAAGAAAAGCUUCGGGUUAAUACCCCGGGGUUCUGACGGUACCGGAAGAAUAAGCACCGGCUAACUUCGUGCCAGCAGCCGCGGUAAUACGAAGGGUGCAAGCGUUACUCGGAAUUACUGGGCGUAAAGCGUGCGUAGGUGGUUGUUUAAGUCUGAUGUGAAAGCCCUGGGCUCAACCUGGGAAUGGCAUUGGAAACUGGGCAGCUAGAGUGCGGUAGAGNGUAGUGGAAUUCCCGGUGUAGCAGUGAGAUGCGUAGAGAUCGGGAGGAACAUCUGUGGCGAAGGCGACUGCCUGGACCAGCACUGACACUGAGGCACGAAAGCGUGGGGAGCAAACA